Molecule: ribosomal RNA, 1369 nt
Filed under: uncultured bacterium
Lineage: Bacteria
Description: bacterial SSU rRNA
Rfam family: Bacterial small subunit ribosomal RNA
Source: RNAcentral
AGAGUUUGAUCCUGGCUCAGGACGAACGCUGGCGGCGCGCCUAACACAUGCAAGUCGAACGAGCGAGAGAGAGCUUGCUUUCUCGAGCGAGUGGCGAACGGGUGAGUAACGCGUGAGGAACCUGCCUCAAAGAGGGGGACAACAGUUGGAAACGACUGCUAAUACCGCAUAGGCCCACGGCUCGGCAUCGAGCAGAGGGAAAAGGAGCAAUCCGCUUUGAGAUGGCCUCGCGUCCGAUUAGCUAGUUGGUGAGGUAAUGGCCCACCAAGGCAACGAUCGGUAGCCGGACUGAGAGGUUGAACGGCCACAUUGGACUGAGACACGGCCCAGACUCCUACGGGAGGCAGCAGUGGGGAAUAUUGCACAAUGGGGGAAACCCUGAUGCAGCGACGCCGCGUGGAGGAAGAAGGUCUUCGGAUUGUAAACUCCUGUUGUUGAGGAAGAUAAUGACGGUACUCAACAAGGAAGUGACGGCUAACUACGUGCCAGCAGCCGCGGUAAAACGUAGGUCACAAGCGUUGUCCGGAAUUACUGGGUGUAAAGGGAGCGCAGGCGGGAAGACAAGUUGGAAGUGAAAUCUAUGGGCUCAACCCAUAAACUGCUUUCAAAACUGUUUUUCUUGAGUAGUGCAGAGGUAGGCGGAGUUCCCGGUGUAGCGGUGGAAUGCGUAGAUAUCGGGAGGAACACCAGUGGCGAAGGCGGCCUACUGGGCACCAACUGACGCUGAGGCUCGAAAGUGUGGGUAGCAAACAGGAUUAGAUACCCUGGUAGUCCACACCGUAAACGAUGAUUACUAGGUGUUGGAGGAUUGACCCCUUCAGCGCCGCAGUUAACACAAUAAGUAAUCCACCUGGGGAGUGCGACCGCAAGGUUGAAACUCAAAGGAAUUGACGGGGGCCCGCACAAGCAGUGGAGUAUGUGGUUUAAUUCGACGCAACGCGAAGAACCUUACCAAGUCUUGACAUCCUGCGAUGAUGCUGGAAACAGUAUUUUCCUUCGGGACGCAGAGACAGGUGGUGCAUGGUUGUCGUCAGCUCGUGUCGUGAGAUGUUGGGUUAAGUCCCGCAACGAGCGCAACCCUUAUUGUCAGUUACUACGCAAGAGGACUCUGGCAGGACUGCCGUUGACAAAUCGGAGGAAGGUGGGGAGGACGUCAAAUCAUCAUGCCCUUUAUGACUUGGGCUACACACGUACUACAAUGGCGUUAAACAAAGAGAAGCAAGACCGCGAGGUGGAGCAAAACUCAGAAACAACGUCCCAGUUCGGACUGCAGGCUGCAACUCGCCUGCACGAAGUCGGAAUUGCUAGUAAUCGUGGAUCAGCAUGCCACGGUGAAUAAGUUCCCGGGCCUUGCACUCACCGCCCGUCA